UUAACUAAAAUUUGUGUGCAGUUGGAACAGCGCCCCUAGCAACAAACGUAGGCAAAAGUUGCAACUCCAUACAAAUUUGAGUUA
RNAcentral lists this microRNA precursor (84 nucleotides) under Bombyx mori (domestic silkworm). RNAcentral describes it as "mir-2807 microRNA precursor family". It matches the Rfam family "mir-2807 microRNA precursor family". Lineage: Eukaryota; Metazoa; Arthropoda; Insecta; Lepidoptera; Bombycidae. The record is from Rfam by way of RNAcentral.